RNAcentral lists this ribosomal RNA (440 nucleotides) under uncultured bacterium. RNAcentral describes it as "partial 16S ribosomal RNA". It matches the Rfam family "Bacterial small subunit ribosomal RNA", at positions 338 to 795 of the family's 1533-position model. The record is from RNAcentral.
CCUACGGGCGGCAGCAGUGGGGAAUAUUGCACAAUGGGGGAAACCCUGAUGCAGCGACGCCGCGUGAGUGAAGAAGUAUUUCGGUACGUAAAGCUCUAUCAGCAGGGAAGAAAAUGACGGUACCUGACUAAGAAGCCCCGGCUAACUACGUGCCAGCAGCCGCGGUAAUACGUAGGGGGCAAGCGUUAUCCGGAUUUACUGGGUGUAAAGGGAGCGUAGACGGCAGCGCAAGUCUGGAGUGAAAUCCCAUGGCUUAACCAUGGAACUGCUUUGGAAACUGUGCAGCUAGAGUGCAGGAGAGGUAAGCGGAAUUCCUAGUGUAGCGGUGAAAUGCGUAGAUAUUAGGAGGAACACCAGUGGCGAAGGCGGCUUACUGGACUGUAACUGACGUUGAGGCUCGUAAGCGUGGGGAGCAAACAGGAUUAGAUACCCCUGUAGUC